CCUACGGGAGGCAGCAGUGAGGAAUAUUGGUCAAUGGGCGCAAGCCUGAACCAGCCAUGCCGCGUGCAGGAUGAAGCAUCUAUGGUGUGUAAACUGCUUUUGUACAGGAAGAAACACUCGUUCGUGAACGAGCUUGACGGUACUGUAAGAAUAAGGACCGGCUAACUCCGUGCCAGCAGCCGCGGUAAUACGGAGGGUCCAAGCGUUAUCCGGAAUCAUUGGGUUUAAAGGGUCCGUAGGCGGUUUAGUAAGUCAGUGGUGAAAGCCCAUCGCUCAACGGUGGAACGGCCAUUGAUACUGCUAGACUUGAAUUAUUAGGAAGUAACUAGAAUAUGUAGUGUAGCGGUGAAAUGCUUAGAGAUUACAUGGAAUACCAAUUGCGAAGGCAGGUUACUACUAAUAUAUUGACGCUGAUGGACGAAAGCGUGGGGAGCGAACAGGAUUAGAUACCCUGGUAGUCCACGCCGUAAACGAUGGAUACUAGCUGUUCGGAGCAAUCUGAGUGGCUAAGCGAAAGUGAUAAGUAUCCCACCUGGGGAGUACGUUCGCAAGAAUGAAACUUAAAGGAAAUUGACGGCUGAGAGNGACGAGACGACGACGAGGAGGAGG
This 609-nucleotide ribosomal RNA is filed under the name uncultured bacterium. RNAcentral describes it as "bacterial SSU rRNA". It matches the Rfam family "Bacterial small subunit ribosomal RNA", at positions 338 to 947 of the family's 1533-position model. The record is from RNAcentral.